UCUUUCAACACCUCAACACCACUGUUAC
Molecule: small RNA, 28 nt
Filed under: Bombyx mori (domestic silkworm)
Lineage: Eukaryota; Metazoa; Arthropoda; Insecta; Lepidoptera; Bombycidae
Description: ovarian small RNA-30254
Source: RNAcentral